CCUACGGGUGGCAGCAGUGAGGAAUAUUGGUCAAUGGACGAGAGUCUGAACCAGCCAAGUAGCGUGAAGGAUGACUGCCCUAUGGGUUGUAAACUUCUUUUAUAUGGGAAUAAAACGUUCCACGUGUGGGAUUUUGUAUGUACCAUAUGAAUAAGGAUCGGCUAACUCCGGGCCAGCAGCCGCGGUAAUACGGAGGAUCCGAGCGUUAUCCGGAUUUAUUGGGUUUAAAGGGAGCGUAGGUGGAUUGUUAAGUCAGUUGUGAAAGUUUGCGGCUCAACCGUAAAAUUGCAGUGGAAACUGGCAGUCUUGAGUACAGUAGAGGUGGGCGGAAUUCGUGGUGUAGCGGUGAAAUGCUUAGAUAUCACGAAGAACUCCGAUUGCGAAGGCAGUUCACUGGACUGCAACUGACACUGAGGCUCGAAAGUGUGGGUAUCAAACAGGAUUAGAUACCCGAGUAGUC
Molecule: ribosomal RNA, 460 nt
Filed under: uncultured bacterium
Lineage: Bacteria
Description: partial 16S ribosomal RNA
Rfam family: Bacterial small subunit ribosomal RNA
Source: RNAcentral